Molecule: small nucleolar RNA, 89 nt
Organism: Salvia hispanica
Lineage: Eukaryota; Viridiplantae; Streptophyta; Magnoliopsida; Lamiales; Lamiaceae
Source: RefSeq, a predicted model, not a curated record
ACAGGGCAAGUGAUGAAUCUCAUUUUAAUGGGUAAUGUGCAUCUGAAACCUUUAUGAUGCUUUAUCACCUUGGAGAACUGAUGUCCUGC